Molecule: ribosomal RNA, 494 nt
Filed under: uncultured bacterium
Lineage: Bacteria
Description: partial 16S ribosomal RNA
Rfam family: Bacterial small subunit ribosomal RNA
Source: RNAcentral
GACGAACGCUGGCGGCGUGCUUAACACAUGCAAGUCGAACGGUGAAGCGCCUUCCUUUUUGGUGGGUGUGGAUGAGUGGCGAACGGGUGAGUAACACGUGAGUAACCUGCCCCCUUCUUCUGGAUAACCGCAUGAAAGUGUGGCUAAUACGGGAUAUUCUGGGUCUGUCGCAUGAUGGGUCUGGGAAAGAUAUUGUUUCGGUGGGGGCUGGGCUGGCGGCCUAUCAGCUGGUUGGUGGGGUGAUGGCCUACCAAGGCGGUGACGGGUAGCCGGCCUGAGAGGGUGGACGGUCACACUGGGACUGAGACACGGCCCAGACUCCUACGGGAGGCAGCAGUGGGGAAUAUUGCACAAUGGGCGCAAGCCUGAUGCAGCGACGCCGCGUGAGGGAUGGAGGCCUUCGGGUUGUGAACCUCUUUCGCCAGUGAAGCAGGCCUGCCUCGUUUGUGGGUGGGUUGACGGUAGCUGGAUAAGAAGCGCCGGCUAACUACGUG